Molecule: non-coding RNA, 194 nt
Organism: Triticum urartu
Lineage: Eukaryota; Viridiplantae; Streptophyta; Magnoliopsida; Poales; Poaceae
Source: Rfam
GCGCCAUGUCAGCUCUGCUAAGCGGUAACAUGAUGUAUAGAGUCUGACACCUAUCCGGUUAUGGAAGGUUGAAAGGAGAAUUGUGACAAGCUCUGAAUGGAAGCCCCGGUAAAGGGCGACCGUAACUCUAACUGUCCUAAGGUAGUGAAAUCCUUUGUCACAUAAGUAGCGACCUGCACGAAUGGUGUAACGAU